Molecule: long non-coding RNA, 1157 nt
Organism: Hipposideros armiger (great roundleaf bat)
Lineage: Eukaryota; Metazoa; Chordata; Mammalia; Chiroptera; Hipposideridae
Exons: 2
Source: RefSeq, a predicted model, not a curated record
UGGGAAGCUUCCAGAGCUGGAGGGCCCCUCAGGUCCUCAGGGUGGGGCCUCUGUGGGGAGUGAAGACGCUCCACUCUCACCGGGUCUAGAGCCUCUGCUGAGAGCGGCAGGGAAGGGCGGGCUGUGGUCGUUUGCGGAGUGGCAAGGUCCGGAACGGUCGCUGCUCACACAGGACGAGCGAGCUGGCCAGAGGAGCAUGGCGGCGCCGCCAGCGAGGCUGAGGCCGUCAGGUGUUUGCAGCGGAGCCCACCUGCCAGGUUCAGCGGCUCCCCCGCAGCCCUCUUCCCGUCCACCUGUUGUCACUUAGGUUCACUGUGGGAGACUGCAAGGGGCAUGAAGGUCCCUAAGCCGCCAGUUGGCACCAUCGCUGGGAAGAUUGGGACCACUUGGUGGCCCCCAGGUAUCGUCUUGCUUUCUGGAUGUCGGUGUCACCAGGGAGGGCCACACAAUAGCCAGCUGGCUGAGAAUGGACACUGGAAAAUAGAGCCUAGACAGAGAAAAGCACCUGCAGGUCUGACCGUGAGUGACGGGCUGCGAUGGUCCUGAGCCGGCGGAGAUGGAUGUCAGUGCUAGAGUCACACUGGAAGCCAGAUUCCGCAACUUGCUGCGUUGCUUUGAUGACUGGCUUUAGUUCUGCGUGUCCCAGUUUUCCCAGCUCACAAAUGGGGUUCGUGAGGGCGCCUGCUUCCUAGAGCGAGUGUGAAGAUGGAGCAAGGUGGCUCAGACGCACAGCUGAGGGCCACGUCUGCCCCAGCCACCACGCAACAAACGUUAGCUGCUAGCUUGUUUAUGUCCCGGCAUCAGUGACCGUGUCUCAGCCAGCCGGGGCUGCUGCCACAGACUGAGUGGCUUAAAUGAGAGACAUUUAUUACUCACAGUCUGGAGGCUGGAAGUCCAAGAUCAAGGUGCCAGCUGAUUUGGUUCCUGCUGAGAGCUGUCUUCCUUACUGCCUUCUUGUUGUGUCCUCACGUGGUGGAGUGGGGAGACCAUCUCCUCCAUGUCUGUCCUCAUCAGGGCACGAAGCCCAUUGCUGAGGACUCCCACAGAAUCCCCCCCCCAACACCAUCACACCGGGGCCACAAACAUUAGCGGACUGUGUAUGGCUGAUACGUGCUGCAUGCCCAUUUGUUAAAAGAUAGACACCAUGAUUUACUGUA